This is a long non-coding RNA of Oryzias latipes (Japanese medaka), 166 nucleotides long. RefSeq lists it as uncharacterized. NCBI's taxonomy places the organism in Eukaryota, Metazoa, Chordata, Actinopteri, Beloniformes, Adrianichthyidae. The record is from RefSeq and is a predicted model, not a curated record.
AUUUCAUAUUUCCAUCGACUAGGACCUUGCAAUCGAGCUAUUGACAGUCUCAAGUGCAAAGAGAGAGAAUGGAGAUAGAAGCAAGGAGGAGGUCAAAAGGAGGACCAGUCAGCAUGAUCAGCUCUUCAAAAAGAGGGUCAAAAUUGCUGAGAAGAUUCUCAAUCAA